AGCGAACGCUGGCGGCAGGCCUAAUACAUGCAAGUCGAACGAAGCCUUCGGGUUUAGUGGCGGACGGGUGAGUAACACGUGGGAACGUGCCCUUUGGUUCGGAACAACUCAGGGAAACUUGAGCUAAUACCGAAUGUGCCCUUCGGGGGAAAGAUUUAUCGCCAUUGGAGCGGCCCGCGUCUGAUUAGCUAGUUGGUGAGGUAAAGGCUCACCAAGGCUACGAUCAGUAGCUGGUCUGAGAGGAUGGCCAGCCACAUUGGGACUGAGACACGGCCCAAACUCCUACGGGAGGCAGCAGUGGGGAAUCUUGCGCAAUGGGCGAAAGCCUGACGCAGCCAUGCCGCGUGGAUGAUGAAGGUCUUAGGAUUGUAAAAUCCUUUCACCG
RNAcentral lists this ribosomal RNA (385 nucleotides) under uncultured bacterium. RNAcentral describes it as "bacterial SSU rRNA". It matches the Rfam family "Bacterial small subunit ribosomal RNA", at positions 29 to 441 of the family's 1533-position model. The record is from RNAcentral.